This 74-nucleotide transfer RNA is filed under the name Caudoviricetes sp. RNAcentral's name for it is "tRNA-Lys". It matches the Rfam family "tRNA". From Rfam's summary of the family: Transfer RNA (tRNA) molecules are approximately 80 nucleotides in length. Their secondary structure includes four short double-helical elements and three loops (D, anti-codon, and T loops). The record is from RNAcentral. Lineage: Duplodnaviria; Heunggongvirae; Uroviricota; Caudoviricetes.
GCACUUGUAGCUCAGUUGGUAGUAGCAAUUGCCUUUUAAGCAAUGGGUCGGGCAUUCGAGUUGCCCCAAGUGCA